This 253-nucleotide ribosomal RNA is filed under the name uncultured bacterium. RNAcentral describes it as "partial 16S ribosomal RNA". It matches the Rfam family "Bacterial small subunit ribosomal RNA", at positions 524 to 776 of the family's 1533-position model. The record is from RNAcentral.
UACGUAGGGUGCAAGCGUUAAUCGGAAUUACUGGGCGUAAAGCGUGCGCAGGCGGUUUUGUAAGUCUGUCGUGAAAGCCCCGGGCUCAACCUGGGAACUGCAUUUGUGACUGCAUCGCUGGAGUGCGGCAGAGGGGGAUGGAAUUCCGCGUGUAGCAGUGAAAUGCGUAGAUAUGCGGAGGAACACCGAUGGCGAAGGCAAUCCCCUGGGCCUGCACUGACGCUCAUGCACGAAAGCGUGGGGAGCAAACAGG